CCUACGGGUGGCAGCAGUGGGGAAUAUUGCGCAAUGGGCGAAACCCUGAUGGUGCGACGCCGCGUGGGGGAAUGAAGGUCUUCGGAUUGUAAACCCCUGUCAUGUGGGAGCAAAUUAAAAGAUAGUACCACAAGAGGAAGAGACGGCUAACUCUGUGCCAGCAGCCGCGGUAAUACAGAGGUCUCAAGCGUUGUUCGGAAUCACUGGGCGUAAAGCGGGCGUAGGCGGUUUCGUAAGUCGUGUGUGAAAGGCGCGGGCCCAACCCGCGGACGGCACAUGAUACUGCGAGACUAGAGUAAUGGAGGGGGAACCGGAAUUCUCGGUGUAGCAGUGAAAUGCGUAGAUAUCGAGAGGAACACUCGUGGCGAAGGCGGGUUCCUGGACAUUAACUGACGCUGAGGCACGAAGGCCAGGGGAGCGAAAGGGAUUAGAUACCCUAGUAGUC
This 445-nucleotide ribosomal RNA is filed under the name uncultured bacterium. RNAcentral's name for it is "partial 16S ribosomal RNA". It matches the Rfam family "Bacterial small subunit ribosomal RNA", at positions 338 to 795 of the family's 1533-position model. The record is from RNAcentral.